CAGCAGCCACGGGAAUACGGAGGGAGCUAGCGUUGUUCGGAAUUACUGGGCGUAAAGCGCACGUAGGCGGCUUUGUAAGUUAGAGGUGAAAGCCUGGAGCUCAACUCCAGAAUUGCCUUUAAGACUGCAUCGCUUGAAUCCAGGAGAGGUGAGUGGAAUUCCGAGUGUAGAGGUGAAAUUCGUAGAUAUUCGGAAGAACACCAGUGGCGAAGGCGACUGACUGGACAAGUAUUGACGCUGAGGUGCGAAAGCGUGGGGAGCAAACAGGAUUAGAUACCCCGGUAGUCCCUGUCUCUUAUAA
This 301-nucleotide ribosomal RNA is filed under the name uncultured bacterium. RNAcentral describes it as "partial 16S ribosomal RNA". It matches the Rfam family "Bacterial small subunit ribosomal RNA", at positions 509 to 809 of the family's 1533-position model. The record is from RNAcentral.